GUUGUACAUGGCGAGCGGGUUACUCACUGAGGGCUGGUGAUUGGUGUAAUGGAAGCCGUCACUGAACCGCAUUUAAUGACGGAGAACUACAGGAGUGGAGAGAAAACGCAGCACUGAGCAACUUGUAGACUUCACACCCGACUGUAGGUGGAAUCCCUUCUAUUGUGUGCUGGAAGAUCGCUGGACUUGAAGCAACUCCAAAUGGUGGCCUGUUUGUCCAAAGCCCAGGCUGACCCCCCACCCCUUCAACCUUUGCAGCAAUGCUGGCAGCACUAUUUCCCAAAGACAACCUCUGGAUAUGACGCUGAGCACGUGCACUCAACUUCUUCUUUGGUCGACCAUGGCGAGGCCUGUUCUGAGUGGAACCUGUCCUGUUAAACCGCUGUAUGUUCUUGGCCAUCGUGCUGCAGCUCAGUGUCAGGGUCUUGGUAAUCUUCUUAAAGCCUAGGCCAUUUUCAUGUAGAGCAAGAAUUAUUUUUUUCACAUCCUCAGAGAGUUCUUUGCCUUGAGGUGCCAUGUCGAACUUCCAGUGACCAGUAUGAGGGAGUGUGAGAGUGAUGACACCAAAUUUUACACACCUGCUCCCCAUUCACACCUGAGACCUUGUAACAGUAACAAGUCACAUGACACCGGGGAGGGAAAAUGGCUAAUUGGGCCCGAUUUGGACAUUUUUACUUGGGGGUGUACUCACUUUUGUUGCCAGCGGUUUAGACAUUAAUGUGUGUUGAGUUAUUUUGAGGGGACAGCAAAUUUACACUGUUACACAAGCUGUACACUCACUACUUUACGUUGUAGCACAGUGUCAUUUCUUCAGUGUUGUAACAUGAAAAGAUAUCAAAUAUUUACAAAAAUGUGAGGGGAGUUCUCACUUUAUUGUGAAAUACUGUACAUCUUUUUAUUUACUUUAAUAUUUAUUCAUAGUGUGUUUGUGUGUAUGUAUAUAUAUAUAUAUAUAUAUAUUAAAUAGAUAGAGCGAGCGAGUAACGGUAGCGUGUCUGACUCCAGAUCAGAAGGUUGCGUGUUCAAAUCACGUCGGGGUCAUUCAAUGCACUGGGGUGAGAUCUACCAUUUGAUCUUGAAAAUCUCCCUUAAUGUCCAGGGAAGGGAAACCAGCCAGGUUAUGCCUUUAAAGGGCUCGUGCCUUGUCCUCUGAAAGAGCUCUUGCCCAGAUGUCAGACACUAGUCGCAACAGUCACAGCCCACCACCUGUCUCCGAGUUCCAAUGCGUCUUGAUCGCCACGCCGAUGAACAAGUAUGCCUUGCACCAUGAUGCGCUAUAGGCUUCGAGCUGGGACCUCGUGGCGCAACGGAAGUGCGUCUGACUCCAGAUCAGAAGGUUCAAAUCACGUCGGGGUCAUUCAAUGUGCUCUUUUUCACACAGACCCAUGAUAGUCUAAUAAGGAUGCUGUUAUAUGGACUCCAAUCUCUAUGAUGACCACCCAUGUCUUUGUCAACGUCAUGCUAAAAGGUAACAAAGCUUAGGUAGCGACACUCUCACCUAGUAACCAUUAGUAACUUGACAACCUGCUGAAUGUUUACCCUUAGUUUGCCCAUUUUGCUUGCUGAACAAAACAUGCUGGAAAGAGGCACCUUAGAUGGUUUCACUGGACCUCUCAGAGGAUCUGGAGGGUACUACAACACCCAAACAGGGACUUGAACCCUGGACCCUCAGAUUAAAAGUCUGAUGCUCUACCGACUGAGCUACCUGGGCUCGAGGAGAGAGAGAGCGCACUUUACCCUCGAGCUUGUAGGUCAGGCCUGUGGACGCUCUAGUUCAACGGUUCUCACAGACAUAAAUGGUGCUCAGCCCUUGGCUUGGAAAGUGCCCAUCCCAUCUGGUUCUCAUGGCUUUCUACAAACUAUUAACACAGCUCAGCACCACUAUUCAAGGAUACAAAACAACAGGGUUCAACCACGGCUCUGUCCUUCAUACUUCUUUACCCACUGACUGCCUGCAGUCUGAGACAUACAAAGAGACAAGGUUCUUGUGAAACCUGUAAAAUGGUGACGUUAACCAAGAGAAUGUUGAACUUUGGUCCUAUCUAUUAUGUUGGCCAGUUUCUAAGUUGAGAUCAACUUAACCCCAGUGCUUUCUGUUUAACGACCUUGUUCGUAUUUUUGUUUACAACUAGCACACUUUUGACCAGCAUGUCGCUUGGAAAUCGUUACCAGCAUAACUCUUAUUCGUAAGGCUCACUCUGGAGGCUUGUCUUGGUUCAAGGAAUGCCUUCGUGUCAUGGUAUAGGAACAAGUAGAAUAGCAUCAGCAGUUUUAAUUAAACUUGUCUUUUCUGCACAAGGAGGCCAAAAUUUCUAACAAACACGUUAAUUCCACACCACAAACUGACGUGUAAUCUUGGCUCUGUAUGCCUCGCAAAAAGCAGGUUUACGCCACCUUUGCCACUGAUUGCCCAUCGUCUGACACGUAUAAUGACACAAAGGCCUCGCACAAAUGGUAAAUGUGUGAAGUUACCCAGAAGAAGGCUGAACCAUGGUUCUAUCGCAUAGGCAGUUGAGUCCCUGAGUUGCGCUUCAGGUAUAAGUUGUCCACGCUUCACUCUCACGCACUGGGGUGAGAUCUACCAUUUGAUCUUGAAAAUCUCCCUUAAUGUCCAGGGAAGGGAAACCAGGCAGGUUAUGCCUUUAAAGGGCUCGUGCCUUGUCCUCUGAAAGAGCUCUUGCCCAGAUGUCAGACACUAGUCGCAACAGUCACAGCCCACCACCUGUCUCCAAGUUCCAAUGCGUCUUGAUCGCCACGCCGAUGAACAAGUAUGCCUUGCACCAUGAUGUGCUAUAGGCUUCGAGCUGGGACCUCGUGGCGCAACGGAAGUGCGCCUGACUCCAGAUCAGAAGGUUCAAAUCAUGUCGGGGUCAUUCAAUGUGCUCUUUUUCACACAGACCCAUGAUUUUCUGCGCAGUCUAAUAAGGAUGCUGUUAUAUGGACUCCAAUCUCUAUGAUGACCACCCAUGUCUUUGUCAACUUCAUGCUAAAAGUGCCCAAAGCCCGUGGUGGUGGCAGUGCAUGGCGUUUGUGUGGAAGCAGGUCUGUUGGGAGUGUUAAGUACCAUCAUCUCAUACACUCACCACAACUCUGGGAAGUUCCAUCCAUAUUGUUUGCUGUCACUUUUCCUGCAAAGCUUUAACCAUCAGAGAGUUAUCUUUUACUGGGGCUUUUAGCUGCAGGAGACUGAAUUACUAAGUUUUUUUUUUUUGUGGAUCUGAUUUCUUCUUUCGCAGGAGUGGAUCUAAUCACAGCCUGUGAUAUUCGUCUGUGCACACAGGAUGCCUGGUUUCAGGUGAAGUCGUGUGUUCCCUGAUAGUCAAUGAUUGCUGGAGCUCUGGAAAUAGCAGGUGAGAUUGCAGGCCGGAGUCCCGUCGCUGUCCAGGGAACCAAAGUCAACCUCCCCUACUCCUGAGACCACAGUGUGACUGAGAGCCUAGACUACAUGGCUACUUGGAACAUGAACAUGUUGCAGACACAGGAUCUUAUGAAGUCAGCGCAGGCAGCCCUGGAAAAGAAGAGUCCGAAAGACGUGCCCUUCUCCAAGCUUUAAAGGAGAAGAUCCAGGGCUGUUGAAGCUGCGGUGGAACUGAGACAUCAUCAUCCACAUAUCUUCAGUUCUUCUUGCUAAGUCUGUUUCUUUUUAGUCUUUUUAUUUUUAGACUGGUCAAAAGACUGAUUAGUGGAAGUGAAAUGAUAGAUGAACUUUUAAUUACUUGCUUUAUUAUUUGCAGGUGCCUUGUACAGUAAGACAGGGUAACUAAUACUCAAAAGCUUGUUUUGUGUGUUAACAUGUACAGUAGAUGGACAUAUUUCUUCUGGUCCUGUGUGACUGCAGAAUGUAGUGCAGUUAACACAGUAAAUUUCCUUGGAUGCUCACUUUUAACUCGAGGAGGUCACAGUUUGCCCAGACAUCUUUUAUUUAAAUCCGUCAAUCGGUCACCCACACGUCAUUCUGGGGGACGAAGAGGAGGAAGCUGGACAGAUACAUUUAUUUAUUAUUGCUGUUUCCUCAAUCCAGUGCAGAAAGAAGAAAAACUACACAACUGAUUUAAAAUAAAAAUAUAGAAAACAAUCUAAUGUAAGGUUCUGAUCCGGUUUUUCUUUCCUGUUGCUCUUUCUCUUCUAUUAGUCCAUUUGUCCAGUCUGAAUCGGUUUGAUUGUUUGAUUCGUUUCGAGACGAUUCAGAGUCAAAUAAUUUUCUAGUGAGAGUCGCACACUUCCAAACGAACUAGACUGAGAUGAGUAUUUGAUUCUCACUAGAAAGUGAUUAGACUCUGAAUAAACUCGAAAUGAAUCAGUCAAACUGAUUCAGACUUGAUAAAAGGACUAUGAGAUGUGAUUAAGAUAUAUAUUCCAAUGUUUUGCUUUACAAUUCCACUGUGUGUGUGUGCGCGCCUGUGUGUGUUUUUCAGGGGAACGAGAAACUCUGACACAACAGUACAUCCUGACCAUUGGUACUGUGCACACAUCAACAUACACACACGUCUCCAUGCUAGACAUCUCAGGAGCUUUCACACACAGUGCUAGGAAUAUCCCGGGACAGAGAAACGCACCUCCUAAGUGAGCGAGUUUAGCGUCAACCGGUGAAAUUUGCUGUAGCGUGAACGCUUCGCCUCUGUGAGCUUCACUCUCUGUCAGGUUCCCUGUAAUUAGACAUAAAAUGUACAUAAUUAUUUUGCAUACAUUUAGGAUUUAAUGUUGUUUUUUUUUUUACUCUUCAAGCAACAGAAAUGAUCUUUUGAGGCAGCUGCUUCAUCACUACCUGCUCCGUUUGACUCAAAAAUGUAACGACCGGUUUCAAAAAGUCACAAUGUCUUCAGUUCAUGAGAUUUUACUGUUGAAUUUAAACAGGAAAUGUGAAAUAUUUUUGUUCCUUUAUGUUUCCUCUACUGUCUUUUUGCUGUGAUAUUGAACACAGUUGUAUUUUUUUUUUAAAAGAAUACAUAAAUGAUCAUUCUAUUUCUCUCACUUUCCUUGUCCUAAUUGUCCUGUAGUUGUGUUGUGCUUCCCUUUAUAAAUGCAUCAUUGAUGGCUUUAAGUAAGGUGAAAGAAUAGGAUGCAGUUUCCAUAAUGCAAAUAUUAAGAAAUCAUGAAGAACUAAUGAUACACGGAUUUAUAACAGACACGUAUAUGAUGGAAUGGAACUCCCAUAAUGCACCGGGGCAAACAAAACGAAAACAUUAAAAAAACCAUGUCAUUUCUAAUUAGUUAUUGCAGUAAAUGAUGUUAUAUUCAUUACAGGUCUUUUGCCUGUACAACUGUUCAGAAGAGUUUGAUUGAAAAGUGUUUCCAUAAUCCGUACCAUAAAUAGUAUAACUACUUUUUUAUUUUUUAAUUUAUUAUACAAACCUCCCCCUCAAUGAUGCAAGCCCAGCCCUAGAGAUAAUUCCAAGACAGCUUCCAUAUUGAGUGAAUGGUGGAAAAUUUGUCUACAUCUAGAAGUGAUUGUGAAACUAUAGUAGUAAUCUGGCUCAGUGUUAUGUUACGGUACCUUGUCAGGAAGCAAGCACAGGUGGUGCUGAAACAAGAAGGCGAGGAGAAGAAGGUCAGGUUUUCGGGCGAACAGUCAACACUGGGCAAGGCAG
Long non-coding RNA from Ictalurus punctatus (channel catfish), 5588 nucleotides. The record is from Ensembl. Lineage: Eukaryota; Metazoa; Chordata; Actinopteri; Siluriformes; Ictaluridae.